CACCGCGGUUAUACGAGAGACCCAAGUUGUUAGUCACCGGCGUAAAGCGUGGUUAAAAAUAUACUUCACUAAAGCCGAAAACUUUCAAAGCUGUUAUACGCAUCCGAAAGUAAAAAGACCAAUAACGAAAGUAGCUUUACUUAUUUGAACCCACGAAAGCUACGGCACAAACUGGGAUUAGAUACCCCACUAUGCCUAGCCGUAAACAUUGACAGUAAAAUACAACUACUGUCCGCCCGGGUACUACGAGCAUCAGCUUAAAACCCAAAGGACUUGGCGGUGCUUUAGAUCCACCUAGAGGAGCCUGUUCUAGAACCGAUAACCCCCGUUAAACCUCACCCUUCCUUGUUUCCCCCGCCUAUAUACCACCGUCGUCAGCUUACCCUGUGAAGGCCCUAUAGUAAGCAAAAUUGGCACAGCCCAAAACGUCAGGUCGAGGUGUAGCGUAUGGAAGGGGAAGAAAUGGGCUACAUUCACUUCCUUAGUGAAUACGAACGAUGCAUUGAAACAUACAUCUAAAGGAGGAUUUAGCAGUAAGCAGAAAAUAGAGUGUUCUGCUGAAACUGGCCCUGAAGCGCGCACACACCGCCCGUCACUCUCCCCAAGCUCCCUUAAAUCAAGUAACUAAGCACACACAACUGCAAAGGGGAGGCAAGUCGUAA
Molecule: ribosomal RNA, 662 nt
Filed under: Ostracion cubicum (yellow boxfish)
Lineage: Eukaryota; Metazoa; Chordata; Actinopteri; Tetraodontiformes; Ostraciidae
Description: Ostracion cubicus (yellow boxfish) partial 12S ribosomal RNA
Rfam family: Bacterial small subunit ribosomal RNA
Source: RNAcentral